AUUGAACGCUGGCGGCAGGCCUAACACAUGCAAGUCGAACGAGGGGCGGGCGGGUGUGUAAUAUCGGGAAAACUGCCUGAUGGAGGGGGAAAAACAGUGGAAAGGGGAGAUAAUAGCGCAUAACAUCGGGUGUGCCCAGAUGGGAUUAGCUAGUAGGUGGGAUAAAGGCUCACCUAGGCGACGAUCCCUAGCUGGUCUGAGAGGAUGACCAGCCACACUGGAACUGAGACACGGUCCAGACUCCUACGGGAGGCAGCAGUGGGGAAUAUUGCACAAUGGGCGCAAGCCUGAUGCAGCCAUGCCGCGUGUAUGAAGAAGGCCUUCGGGUUGUAAAGUACUUUCAGCGGGGAGGCGUUACCCGCAGAAGAAGCACCGGCUAACUCCGUGCCAGCCGCCGCGGUAAUAC
RNAcentral lists this ribosomal RNA (406 nucleotides) under uncultured bacterium. Its description in RNAcentral is "partial 16S ribosomal RNA". It matches the Rfam family "Bacterial small subunit ribosomal RNA", at positions 29 to 526 of the family's 1533-position model. The record is from RNAcentral.